AAAGACCUUAUGCUUUUGGAGCGGCCGAUGUCUGAUUAGCUAGUUGGUAAGGUAAAGGCUUACCAAGGCGACGAUCAGUAGUUGGUCUGAGAGGACGACCAGCCACACUGGGACUGAGACACGGCCCAGACUCCUACGGGAGGCAGCAGUGGGGAAUUUUGGACAAUGGGCGAAAGCCUGAUCCAGCAAUGCCGCGUGAGUGAAGAAGGCCUUCGGGUUGUAAAGCUCUUUCAGUCGAAAAGAAAAGAUUGUGACUAAUAAUCAUAAUUUAUGACGGUAUCGACAGAAGAAGCACCGGCUAACUACGUGCCAGCAGCCGCGGUAAUACGUAGGGUGCGAGCGUUAAUCGGAAUUACUGGGCGUAAAGGGUGCGCAGGCGGUUCUGCAAGUCAGAUGUGAAAUCCCCGGGCUUAACCUGGGAACU
RNAcentral lists this ribosomal RNA (424 nucleotides) under uncultured beta proteobacterium. RNAcentral describes it as "bacterial SSU rRNA". It matches the Rfam family "Bacterial small subunit ribosomal RNA", at positions 202 to 622 of the family's 1533-position model. Lineage: Bacteria; Pseudomonadati; Pseudomonadota; Betaproteobacteria. The record is from RNAcentral.